RNAcentral lists this transfer RNA (77 nucleotides) under Candidatus Cloacimonadota bacterium. RNAcentral's name for it is "Candidatus Cloacimonetes bacterium (marine metagenome) tRNA-Arg". It matches the Rfam family "tRNA". From Rfam's summary of the family: Transfer RNA (tRNA) molecules are approximately 80 nucleotides in length. Their secondary structure includes four short double-helical elements and three loops (D, anti-codon, and T loops). Lineage: Bacteria; Pseudomonadati; Candidatus Cloacimonadota. The record is from RNAcentral.
GCGCCCGUGGCUCAAUUGGAUAGAGCAUCUGACUACGGAUCAGAAGGUUUGGGGUUCGAAUCCCUUCGGGCGUGCCA